Molecule: transfer RNA, 136 nt
Rfam family: tRNA
About the family: Transfer RNA (tRNA) molecules are approximately 80 nucleotides in length. Their secondary structure includes four short double-helical elements and three loops (D, anti-codon, and T loops). Further hydrogen bonds mediate the characteristic L-shaped molecular structure. tRNAs have two regions of fundamental functional importance: the anti-codon, which is responsible for specific mRNA codon recognition, and the 3' end, to which the tRNAs corresponding amino acid is attached (by aminoacyl-tRNA synthetases). tRNAs cope with the degeneracy of the genetic code in two manners: having more than one tRNA (with a specific anti-codon) for a particular amino acid; and 'wobble' base-pairing, i.e. permitting non-standard base-pairing at the 3rd anti-codon position.
Source: Rfam
GGGGAGAUGGCCGAGCUUGGUUAUGGCGUCAGGUUAAGGCAUUUGAGUCUUAGCACUUUAAGUAUCUCGGCAUCUGUUGAGAUAGACGUUUCCUGAUGGGAGUAAUCCCGCGUGGGUUCGAAUCCCACUCUCCUCA